This 253-nucleotide ribosomal RNA is filed under the name uncultured bacterium. RNAcentral describes it as "partial 16S ribosomal RNA". It matches the Rfam family "Bacterial small subunit ribosomal RNA", at positions 524 to 776 of the family's 1533-position model. The record is from RNAcentral.
UACGGGGGGGGCAAGCGUUAUUCGGAAUUACUGGGCGUAAAGGGCUUGUAGGCGGCCAACUAAGUCGGAUGUGAAAUCCCUCAGCUUAACUGGGGAACUGCGUCCGAUACUGGAUGGCUUGGAUUUGGGAGAGGGAUGCGGAAUUCCAGGUGUAGCGGUGAAAUGCGUAGAUAUCUGGAGGAACACCGGUGGCGAAGGCGGCAUCCUGGACCAAUAUUGACGCUGAGGAGCGAAAGCUAGUGGAGCAAACGGG